This 192-nucleotide ribosomal RNA is filed under the name uncultured bacterium. RNAcentral describes it as "partial 16S ribosomal RNA". It matches the Rfam family "Bacterial small subunit ribosomal RNA", at positions 584 to 776 of the family's 1533-position model. The record is from RNAcentral.
UAAGUCUGGUGUUUAAGUGCGGGGCUCAACCCCGUGAUACGCCGGAAACUGGGGAACUUGAGUGCAGAAGAGGAGAGCGGAAUUCCACGUGUAGCGGUGAAAUGCGUAGAGAUGUGGAGGAACACCAGUGGCGAAGGCGGCUCUCUGGACUGUAACUGACGCUGAGGCGCGAAAGCGUGGGGAGCAAACAGG